This 404-nucleotide ribosomal RNA is filed under the name uncultured bacterium. RNAcentral's name for it is "bacterial SSU rRNA". It matches the Rfam family "Bacterial small subunit ribosomal RNA", at positions 355 to 776 of the family's 1533-position model. The record is from RNAcentral.
UGAGGAAUCUUGGACAAUGGGCGCAAGCCUGAUCCAGCCAUGCCGCGUGAGUGACGAAGGCCUUAGGGUUGUAAAGCUCUUUUGGCGGGGAUGAUAAUGACCGUACCCGCAGAAUAAGCCACGGCUAAAUUCGUGCCAGCAGCCGCGGUAAUACGAAUGUGGCAAGCGUUGUUCGGAAUCACUGGGCGUAAAGAGUACGUAGGCGGUUUGAUAAGUCAGGAGUGAAAUCCCAGGGCUCAACCCUGGAACUGCUUUUGAAACUAUCAGACUAGAAGCUCGGAGAGGUUGGCGGAAUUCUCAGUGUAGAGGUGAAAUUCGCAGAUAUUGAGAGGAACACCAGUGGCGUAAGCGGCCAACUGGACGAGUAUUGACGCUGAGGUACGAAAGCGUGGGGAUCAAACAGG